UGGGGAAUAUUGGACAAUGGGCGCAAGCCUGAUCCAGCCAUGCCGCGUGAGUGAUGAAGGCCUUAGGGUUGUAAAGCUCUUUUAGCAGGGAAGAUAAUGACUGUACCUGCAGAAUAAGCUCCGGCUAACUUCGUGCCAGCAGCCGCGGUAAUACGAAGGGAGCUAGCGUUGUUCGGAAUCACUGGGCGUAAAGCGCACGUAGGCGGAUUUGUUAGUGAGGGGUGAAAUCCCGGGGCUCAACCUCGGAACUGCCUUUCAUACUGCAGAUCUCGAGUCCGAUAGAGGUGGGUGGAAUUCCUAGUGUAGAGGUGAAAUUCGUAGAUAUUAGGAAGAACACCGGUGGCGAAGGCGGCCCACUGGAUCGGUACUGACGCUGAGGUGCGAAAGCGUGGGGAGCAAACA
Molecule: ribosomal RNA, 402 nt
Filed under: uncultured bacterium
Lineage: Bacteria
Also listed under: 1 other name
Description: bacterial SSU rRNA
Rfam family: Bacterial small subunit ribosomal RNA
Source: RNAcentral